This 801-nucleotide ribosomal RNA is filed under the name uncultured Actinomycetes bacterium. RNAcentral's name for it is "bacterial SSU rRNA". It matches the Rfam family "Bacterial small subunit ribosomal RNA", at positions 69 to 881 of the family's 1533-position model. Lineage: Bacteria; Bacillati; Actinomycetota; Actinomycetes. The record is from RNAcentral.
GAAAGGCCUGCAGCUUGCUGCGGGUACUCGAGUGGCGAACGGGUGAGUAACACGUGGGUGAUCUGCCUUGCACUUCGGGAUAAGCUUGGGAAACUGGGUCUAAUACCGGAUAGGACAGCUGUUUAGUGUCAGUUGUGGAAAGUUUUUUCGGUGCAAGAUGAGCUCGCGGCCUAUCAGCUUGUUGGUGGGGUAAUGGCCUACCAAGGCGUCGACGGGUAGCCGGCCUGAGAGGGUGUACGGCCACAUUGGGACUGAGAUACGGCCCAGACUCCUACGGGAGGCAGCAGUGGGGAAUAUUGCACAAUGGGCGGAAGCCUGAUGCAGCGACGCCGCGUGGGGGAUGAAGGCCUUCGGGUUGUAAACUCCUUUCGACAGGGACGAAGCGUAAGUGACGGUACCUGUAUAAGAAGCACCGGCUAACUACGUGCCAGCAGCCGCGGUAAUACGUAGGGUGCGAGCGUUGUCCGGAAUUACUGGGCGUAAAGAGCUCGUAGGUGGUUUGUCGCGUCGUCUGUGAAAUUCCGGGGCUUAACUCCGGGCGUGCAGGCGAUACGGGCUGACUUGAGUGCUGUAGGGGAGACUGGAAUUCCUGGUGUAGCGGUGAAAUGCGCAGAUAUCAGGAGGAACACCGAUGGCGAAGGCAGGUCUCUGGGCAGUAACUGACGCUGAGGAGCGAAAGCAUGGGUAGCGAACAGGAUUAGAUACCCUGGUAGUCCAUGCCGUAAACGGUGGGCGCUAGGUGUAGGGGGCUUCCACGUCUUCUGUGCCGUAGCUACGCAUUAAGCGCCCCGCCUGGGAUCG